This 413-nucleotide long non-coding RNA is filed under the name Bos taurus (domestic cattle). RNAcentral describes it as "long non-coding RNA NONBTAT006590". Lineage: Eukaryota; Metazoa; Chordata; Mammalia; Artiodactyla; Bovidae. The record is from RNAcentral.
UACAAAGUUUUAAACCUCAACUCCUCUUCAUGGUUGGCAAUCUAAUAAUUAUUCCAAAUUAAUAAUGUGAAAACGUCAGUGUCUGUUUUUCAGUAACGAUAUAAAGACAGGUUUCACAUCUGAAUUAAGGAUAUUUCAUCAUAAUUUGUUCCCCUCUUUAGAGUGCUAGGAACCUUUAUUAUAGAUAUUCAGUUAGCCAUUUGUUUAUCUGUGGUAUAAGAACAAUGUCCAAGACUCUUGACCUACUGCUCCAAUUUCUGGCAAACUUAAAAAGUAUCAUCUUUGACAUUCAUUUACAAUCCAUCUUUUCUGUCUUUUCUGGCCCAGAGCCACAGGCUUUGACUGAAGACUUCUAAAGCAACUUGUUCUAGCCUCUGCCCUGUUACUUACCAAAUCAUUAUAUAACCAAGUCC